AUUCUUUGUAUUUCAAAAAGUAGAAAAUUAUUAAAAUCACUUAGUUCUGGUGUACUAAUGUUUCGUUGGUAUUGUUCUAAUGUCUUUUUAUAUUCAAUAUGAGUUUUUAUAUUUUCUAUAGUAAUAUAGAUUAUAGGAUUGUAACAGCUUAUAUAUUUCAAUAAUAUAUUUCAAUAUAUAUAUAUAUAUAUGAGAUCAAGAUUUGAAAGGAACAAUCUCUUACUUGGAAUUGAUUGCAUUGUGCAAGAAGGAGAAGAGAAAUGCCAAAAACUAGUUUCUGGCCAUUGUCAUAACGCAGCUCAUCACUAUUCGUGGAAAUAAUCCAUAUCAACAUAUAUGCUUAUUUCCAGUCACUUGAAAUUGCAAAUCAACUUUCUUUUCCAAUAGGCAGAUAAACUUUGAGAUAGCAUUUUGGGCCUUCAUCAGAGAGCAUUUCAAGUUUGUUAAUACAUAGUAUAUAUAUAUUUUGGUUCUACAAGAAGAAGAAGAUGAUACUCGAAAUAGAAAAAUAGUGGAUAUAUAUGCACAUCAAUUUAUUAUAAGGUCAAUUUAAUUCAGAAAGCGAAGUGUUGGCUUUUGGGACCUUAUUUUUGUUGCUGCAACAUAUCAUCC
This 612-nucleotide long non-coding RNA is filed under the name Nicotiana benthamiana. RNAcentral describes it as "long non-coding RNA (NBEN_LNC020528)". Lineage: Eukaryota; Viridiplantae; Streptophyta; Magnoliopsida; Solanales; Solanaceae. The record is from RNAcentral.